Molecule: ribosomal RNA, 497 nt
Filed under: uncultured bacterium
Lineage: Bacteria
Description: partial 16S ribosomal RNA
Rfam family: Bacterial small subunit ribosomal RNA
Source: RNAcentral
GAUGAACGCUGGCGGCGUGCCUAAUACAUGCAAGUCGAGCGAACGGACGAGAAGCUUGCUUCUCUGAUGUUAGCGGCGGACGGGUGAGUAACACGUGGAUAACCUACCUCUAAGACUUGGAUAACUUCGGGAAACCGGAGCUAAUACCGGAUGAUACUUUGAACCGCAUGGUUCAAGAGUGAAAGACCGUCUUGCUGUGACUUAUCGAUUGAUCCGCGGUGUAUUAGCUAGUUGGUAAGGUAACGGCUUACCAAGGCGACGAUGCAUAGCCGACCUGAGAGGGUGAACGGCCACACUGGAACUGAGACACGGUCCAGACUCCUACGGGAGGCAGCAGUAGGGAAUCUUCCGCGAAGGGCGGAAGCCUGACGGAGCAACGCCGCGUGGGUGAUGAAGGUCUUCGGAUCGUAAAACUCUGUUAUUAGGGAAGAACAUAUGUGUACGUAACUGUGCACAGCUUGACGGUACCUAAUAAGAAAGCCACGGCUAACUACGUG